RNA transcript from Chenopodium quinoa (quinoa), 1066 nucleotides. RefSeq lists it as uncharacterized. NCBI's taxonomy places the organism in Eukaryota, Viridiplantae, Streptophyta, Magnoliopsida, Caryophyllales, Amaranthaceae. The transcript has 3 exons. The record is from RefSeq and is a predicted model, not a curated record.
GUGCUUAAUUUGGGGGGUUUUAAUUGAAUCUUAAUGUUUAGGGUUUGGGUUUUUUUUUCAAGAAAUUAUAGUUUUUCUUUGCUUGCAUAUAAUUUAAUCGUGUUUGUUUAUGCUUGUUAUGUUUAAUUGUUGAUUGUUAAAAAAAAAAUUGGGUUUAAUCGUCCAUUUUUUUGGAAUUUUGUUUCACUAUUGAGGUAAUUGGACGACAAAUUGAAUGUCUCUUUGGAAAUUAAGUAAUCGAUGCAGGAUUUAUAUAAAAUGUUGAUUAAUUGCUUUGAUAGUCUUGUUAUUCAAGCAUAACAAUUCGAAAUCUAACCCCUUUUUUCUCUAUUGUUUCUUGCUCAAGUGUUGACUUAAUUAAGAUUAUCUUUGUCUAGGUUUAUCAUUCCAUUUGAAUGAUGAAUUGGGUGUAAUUUUUUUUUAAAGGGAAUUGGGUGUAUUUUAAAUGUUGAUUAAUUGGCUAUGGUAGAUUAUUGUUGUUGCUGAGUUUGUAUUGUUCCAUUUGAAUGAUAAAUUGGGUGUAUUUUAAAUGUUGAUUAAUUGGCUAUUGGUAGAUUAUUGUUGUUGUUGAGUUUGUAUCACUGAUGCCUGUAAUGUUUUAUCUUCCAAUCCCUUGUUUUUUCUUCAGAAAGAUCGGCUCGUUGUCUAGGAUUACGAUAAUGUAUACAAGAAAAGAGUUUAUACAAAUAUUCACUCUUGCUUGCUCAACACUAUGAGGUUAAUCUUAAUGUAUUAGCUGCCUUAGUGUAGACACUUCCUCUGGUACAGUGGCCUUCGAUAAUAUGAGGUCCAAGAAGUUGGCAGAUGUUGUAUGUCUUAGAUAUUAACUUAGAGAAGAAACAAGGAGAGAUAAUUAUUAGAGGUCAUAAAACGUUUGUGCUCAAUCUACAAUUAGGAACCAGCUCUUUCACCAAGACCCUUGUGCUCAUUCAUUUGAAAAUGUUGACGAAAUUAGAGAUCUGUGGGGCUAAAUUCUCUUAUACAUGUAAAUUAUUGUUCGUAUAUACUUGUAAAUAUAACUACUAGUAAAUUCAAUAAUUAUAUAAGUUUAUGUAAAUUUAUCUAA